RNAcentral lists this small nucleolar RNA (125 nucleotides) under Meriones unguiculatus (Mongolian gerbil). RNAcentral's name for it is "Small nucleolar RNA SNORA17 (ENSMUGG00000011837.1)". It matches the Rfam family "Small nucleolar RNA SNORA17". From Rfam's summary of the family: snoRNA ACA 17 belongs to the H/ACA family of snoRNAs and is predicted to guide pseudouridylation of the 28S rRNA at positions U4659 and U4598. It shares the same host gene together with ACA43. The record is from RNAcentral. Lineage: Eukaryota; Metazoa; Chordata; Mammalia; Rodentia; Muridae.
CCUCAAGUUGCUUUGAUCAUGGUGUUUCUUCAUCUCAGAAACAUAAACUCUGACAGAGGAUUGAGGCUACGUCUCUGCUCAGUGUUCUGAACUGUGAACAUCUGAAUGAUUAGUAACCUCAUAUC